Molecule: small nuclear RNA, 353 nt
Filed under: Chinchilla lanigera (long-tailed chinchilla)
Lineage: Eukaryota; Metazoa; Chordata; Mammalia; Rodentia; Chinchillidae
Description: 7SK RNA (ENSCLAG00000021763.1)
Rfam family: 7SK RNA (bases 1-185)
About the family: 7SK was discovered as an abundant small nuclear RNA in the mid-70s but a possible function has only recently been suggested.
Source: Rfam by way of RNAcentral
GGAUGUAAGGGCGAUCUGGCUGUGACAUCUGUCACCCCGUUGAUCGCCAGGAUUGAUUUGGCUGAUCUGGCUGGCUAGGUGGGUGUCCCCUUCCUCGCUCAACACUCCAUGUGCAUCCCUCCUGAGCUGCGCGCUCCAAGAGGAGGGAAAAAAAAGAUCAAGAGCCAGGUGAGGGGUAGUGAUGACUGUGUCCAGUGGACGGGGUCUUUAGCACACUCUGCUCCUCCCUCCCUGUCCCCAGAAUCUGUGCCCCUACCCUCCUCUGUGUUCAGAGGGGAAGGGAAGGAGGUCCUCUGAGAUAGGGCUCAGGGGGUACUGUGUGAGGUACUGGCAGGAGGCCAGUGCCAAGCCCC